Long non-coding RNA from Malaclemys terrapin pileata, 1869 nucleotides. RefSeq lists it as uncharacterized. NCBI's taxonomy places the organism in Eukaryota, Metazoa, Chordata, Testudines, Emydidae. The transcript is spliced from 2 exons. The record is from RefSeq and is a predicted model, not a curated record.
UGCAUAAGAGCCAGAGGGGGGACAUGCCACUGCUUCCAGGAGCCACGUGGAGUGGGGCAAGGCCCGGACCCAGCUCCUUGGCAGGAGCUUGAGGGCUGGGUGUGGCCCCUGGGCUGUAGUUUGCCCACCCCGAUCUAGAAUCAAAACAGAGUUCUAGAACCGAGGACUUGUUUAUUUUUGCUUAUUAAACGAAACCACUUACCCUUUUGGGUACUGUUUUAUUUCCUCUCUUAAUCAGACUAAGCAGAUACAGUCAAGCAAGAUAUUGUUAGAGAAACAGUACAAAAAAGGGUUAAGUAGCAUUCACCCUUUUAGAGUUGUUUGGCUGACAAUACCAGUAUUAAAGUGAGAAAGCAAAAUAGGUCUGCUAGCAAAAAAGCAGUAGUGUACAUUUGCAUAAAUUAGAGCUUUUGAAUUCCCAUUUUAAAGUUCUGUUUAAAUGGGGGAGGGGGAGAGAGAUAACAUGGACCCCAAAAAUUUAUUCAGAGUGCUUAGCACAGGUGAUAGCAUAUCAUUGGAGGAGACAUCUCAGUGCCAUAUUUCUAACACUGUUCCUAUUUUUUUCAUGAUGACAAGCCCUAAGAAGAUGAGUUGGAAGAACAUAGACCUGUUAGUACUGCUCCUAACUUAUUUAUCACAUAACUGUGAAAAUGUCCAAAAAAAAAAAAAAAAAAAAAAAAGCAGAUAUGUCAAGCCAUCUGUACUGGGGCUUAGGCUAACUUGUAAUUCCAUCUUAAGGUUGUACACUGUGAAGUCAGGGACCCCACAAAAAAACUUACUCCACACUCCUUCUCUUCUCCCCCCUUGUCUCUUCCAAAAGUUUGUUGUUCCCUAUCUGCCUAGGCAGGGAACGUUCUGAAAAAUUUCAAGACAGCUGUGAUCAUUUCUCAUCGCUGACUUCAUCCAGAUUUGAAAGUUGCAGACUUUCUGGUAGAACAGGAUUGAAGAACAUUUAACUUUUUGUAAUAAGUGAAUGUUAAAAAAUGUCUUCAUUGGAUUGGAUUGUGAUCUUCAGUACCUUAUAUCAUGUUAAAAACAAUAGUCAAAAUACCAUUUGGAAUUUCACCAUUGUUGGGCUUUGAGGAGAUGUAGCAGCACAUCAUGGUUUGUAGGGACAAGGAGAUACAGACCAUUCUGGGCUGCCUCAUUACCUCAAGGAUAGACAAGAAAGGGAGCUUCUGGGUGUCAGCCGUGGAAGCUACCACAUUCUCAUAUAUCUCUUAGAUCAGUUGAACAGGUAUGUUUAGAUAUGUUUUUGUAGUGCUUUUAACAUGAACGCUUUCUUUCCAGCCUGCAAAGAUAGUCUUGGUUUUACGUCUUUGGUGAAUUUGCCUAAAAUGGCCCAGGGAUUUGCAGUAUUCUAACCUGUUGACCCGAUCACAGGCCAUGUGAUUGUUCAAUAUUUCAUCACCUUCCAAUAUCCGCAAUAGCUUCAUCUUAAUACCAGUUGCAUGUUGCUUGAAGUAAUCCUGCUUCCUGUUUUGUCCAACAUUCUUUCCUCUGUUUAAGACAAAUAACAAAUUAUAGGUAGUAGGAUAACCAGCAGGGAUUGUAAAAAAGGGGUUCUGGAAGUCACGGACAUGGAAGCAUGUCAGCAGUGCUCUAGCAGCACGUAAAUACUGGAGUUUAGGAUUGCCUAGCUGCUCUCCAGUAUUGCAUUGCUGCUUUAGUGCGGCUGGAUGGUCGUGCCCACGGCAGGAACCAGUGCUGUUGCUACCAGCCUGUGGUGCCUAGGGCAACAAAACAACAUUAUCGCACUGUUAAAGUCGGGGAGAUGCUGUAUGAUCAGGUUUUUAAGAGGGGUAUUAAGAGGUUUCCUGGCCUGUAGAUCUGACUUAAGAACAUAUUAAUAUAAAGGUGUGAAAAAUU